CAGCCGUAAACUAUGCGCGUUAGGUGUACUGGUGACCACGAGUCACCGGGUGCCGAAGGGAAACCGUGAAACGUGCCGCCUGGGAAGUACGGUCGCAAGGCUGAAACUUAAAGGAAUUGGCGGGGAGCACCACAACAGGUGGAGCCUGCGGUUUAAUUGGACUCAACGCCGGGAAGCUCACCGGAUAGGACAGCAGAAUGAUUGCCGGGCUGAAGACCCUGCAUGACUAGCUGAGAGGAGGUGCAUGGCGUCAGUGACU
RNAcentral lists this ribosomal RNA (259 nucleotides) under uncultured archaeon. RNAcentral's name for it is "partial 16S ribosomal RNA". It matches the Rfam family "Archaeal small subunit ribosomal RNA", at positions 748 to 1008 of the family's 1478-position model. The record is from RNAcentral.